AUUGAACGCUGGCGGCAUGCCUUACACAUGCAAGUCGAACGGCAGCACGGGGGCAACCCUGGUGGCGAGUGGCGAACGGGUGAGUAAUACAUCGGAACGUGUCCGGUAGUGGGGGAGUAGCCCGGCGAAAGCCGGAUUAAUACCGCAUACGACCUAAGGGUGAAAGCGGGGGAGUCGCAAGACCUCGCGCUAGUGGAGCGGCCGAUGUCAGAUUAGGUUGUUGGUGGGGUAAAGGCCUACCAAGCCGACGAUCUGUAGCUGGUCUGAGAGGACGACCAGCCACACUGGGACUGAGACACGGCCCAGACUCCUACGGGAGGCAGCAGUGGGGAAGUUUUGUCGCAAUGGGGGAAACCCGUGACGCAGCAACGCCGCGUGGAGGAAUGAAGGUCUUUGGAUUGUAAACUCCUUUUCGAUCGGGACGAUAAUGACGGUACCGGAGAAGAAGCACCGGCUAACUCUGUGCCAGCCGCCGCCGU
RNAcentral lists this ribosomal RNA (479 nucleotides) under uncultured bacterium. RNAcentral describes it as "bacterial SSU rRNA". It matches the Rfam family "Bacterial small subunit ribosomal RNA", at positions 29 to 521 of the family's 1533-position model. The record is from RNAcentral.